RNAcentral lists this ribosomal RNA (847 nucleotides) under uncultured bacterium. RNAcentral describes it as "bacterial SSU rRNA". It matches the Rfam family "Bacterial small subunit ribosomal RNA", at positions 21 to 882 of the family's 1533-position model. The record is from RNAcentral.
GGCUCAGAUUGAACGCUGCGGGCAUGGCUAAAACAUGCAAGUCGAACGCGAAAGCGGGGGCAACUCCGCGAGUAGAGUGGCGAAAGGGCGAGUAAUGCGUUUCUAACGUACCCCGGACUCAGGGAUAGCUCGGCGAAAGCCGGAUUAAUACCUGAUGAUGCUGGCGGGCCGUAUGGUCUGCCAGCCAAAGGCUUGCUGGUCUGGGAGCGGGGAACGUCCUAUCAGCUAGUUGGUGAGGUAACGGCUCACCAAGGCUAAGACGGGUAGCGGGUGUGAGAGCACGGCCCGCCGCAUCGGGACUGAGACACUGCCUGGACUCCUACGGGAGGCUGCAGUAACGAAUAUUCCGCAAUGGACGCAAGUCUGACGGAGCGAUGCCGCGUGCAGGACGAAGCCCUUCGGGGUGUAAACUGCUGUCAGGGGUAAGCAACCCAAUGAGCUACCCCAAAGGAAGAGGCGACUAACUCUGUGCCAGCAGUCGCGGUAAUACAGAGGCCUCGAGCGUUAAUCGGAAUCACUGGGCUUAAAGGGUGCGUAGGCGGGUCCGUAAGUGCCUUGUGAAAUCCCCUGGCUUAACCAGGGAACGGCUGGGCAUACUGCGGGCCUUGAGGUCGGUAGGGGUCGCUGGAACGGUUGGUGGAGCGGUGAAAUGCGUAGAUAUCAACCGGAACGCCAAAGGUGAAGACAGGCGACUGGGCCGACUCUGACGCUGAGGCACGAAAGCGUGGGGAGCAAACGGGAUUAGAUACCCCGGUAGUCCACGCCCUAAACUAUGCGCACUGGAUCCUGGAGGCUCUGACGCCAUCAGGGUCGCAGCCAAAGUGCUAAGUGCGCCGCCUGGGGAGUA